CUCGUCUCAAAGAUUAAGCCAUGCAUGUCUAAGUAUAAAUACUUUACUUUAAAACUGCGAACGGCUCAUUAUAUCAGUUAUAAUUUAUUUGAUAAUCCCUUACUACUUGGAUACCCGUAGUAAUUCUAGAGCUAAUACAUGCAUCAUAACCCGACUAUUUUGGAAGGGUUGUAUUUAUUAGGUAAAAACCAACUCCUUUCGAGGAUGCUGUGGUGAUUCAUAAUAACUUUGCGAAUCGCAUGGAUCUAUUCCGGCGAUGGAUCAUUCAAGUUUCUGCCCUAUUAACUUCGGACGGUAUGGUAUUGGCUUACCGUGGUCAUAAUGGGUAACGAAUAGUUAGGGCUAGAUUUCGGAGAGGGAGCCUGAGAAACGGCUACCACAUCCAAGGAAGGCAGCAGGCGCGUAAAUUACCCAAUACUGACACAGUGAGGUAGUGACAAUAAAUAACAAUGGUGGGUUUUUACAAAUCUGCCAAUUGGAAUGAGAACAAUUUAAAUCCCUUAUCGAGUAUCAAUUGGAGGGCAAGUCUGGUGCCAGCAGCCGCGUAAUUCCAGCUCCAAUAGCGUAUAUUAAAGUUGUUGCAGUUAAAAAGCUCGUAGUUGAAAUACUGACAUAGUCGACCGGUCUCACGCAUUGUCGUGAGCACUUGUGUUGUAUUAGGUCAUUCUUGGAUUUUAGCCAGUCUGGCAUUAAGUUGUCGGGUUGGUGAAAACCAUCGUUUACUGUGAAAAAAUUAGAGUGUUCAAAGCAGACUUAUGUCGUUGAAUAGAUUAGCAUGGAAUAAUAAUAUAGGACUUUUGUACUAUUUUGUUGGUUAGGUGUAAAAGUAAUGAUCAAUAGGGACAGUUGGGCGUAUUCGUAUUUCGUUGCUAGAGGUGAAAUUCUUGGAUUUCCGAAAGACGAACUACUGCGAAAGCAUUUACGAAGGAUGUUUUCAUUAAUCAAGAACGAAAGUUAGGGGAUCGAAGAUGAUUAGAUACCAUCGUAGUCUUAACCAUAAACUAUGCCGACUCGGGAUUGGGCGUUGUUUUUUGACUCGUCCAGCACCGUAUGGGAAACCAUUAGUCUUUGGGUUCCGGGGGGAGUAUGGUCGCAAGACUGAAACUUAAAGAAAUUGACGGAAGGGCACCACCAGGAGUGGAGCCGGCGGCUUAAUUUGACUCAACACGGGAAAACUUACCAGGUCCAGACAUAAUGAGGAUUGACAGAUUGAGAGCUCUUUCUUGAUUUUAUGGGUGGUGGUGCAUGGCCGUUCUUAGUUGGUGGAGUGAUUUGUCUGGUUAAUUCCGUUAACGAACGAGACCGCCGCCUGCUAAAUAGUUCCGUGAAUCAUUUUUGAUUGAUGAGAGCUUCUUAGAGGGACGUCCAUUCUACAAGAUGGAGGAAGAUGGCGGCAAUAACAGGUCUGUGAUGCCCUUAGAUGUCCUGGGCCGCACGCGCGCUACACUGAUGCAUUCAACGAGUCUAAAACCUUGGCCGAGAGGCCUGGGUAAUCUUUUUAAUGUGCAUCGUGAUAGGGAUAGAUUAUUGCAAUUAUUAAUCUUGAACGAGGAAUUCCUAGUAAACGUAUAUCAUCAGUAUACAUUGAUUACGUCCCUGCCCUUUGUACACACCGCCCGUCGCACCUACCGAUUGAACGGUCCGAUGAACACCCGAGCGCGGACUUUGUUUCCUUCAUUGGAGAUUAAGACCGUAAACCCGUGUAAAUCUUAUCGUUUAGAGGAAGGUGAAGUCGUAACAAGGUUUCCGUAGGUGAACCUGCAGAAGGAUCAA
This 1773-nucleotide ribosomal RNA is filed under the name Porosira glacialis. RNAcentral's name for it is "SSU rRNA". It matches the Rfam family "Eukaryotic small subunit ribosomal RNA". The record is from RNAcentral. Lineage: Eukaryota; Bacillariophyta; Thalassiosirophyceae; Thalassiosirales; Thalassiosiraceae.